This is a long non-coding RNA of Macaca mulatta (Rhesus monkey), 1874 nucleotides long. The record is from Ensembl. NCBI's taxonomy places the organism in Eukaryota, Metazoa, Chordata, Mammalia, Primates, Cercopithecidae.
CUUCUCUUCUGAAUUAAAGUUUAGGGGAUCUUUUUGGUCACCGUAACUUAGUUAUAAAUAGAAAGAAAACUAGAAAUGGAAUGGGCAUGUUUAUUUUAAGGAACUGCUCUUGUUCCAUUAGUAAGUGGCUUUAAAGAGUACAAAGACUCCCUAGCCUUAGGCGUGGGGCUUUAUUCCACAGAGCAGAAGACUUUCACAUGGAUUUGGUGAUUCCCUCACAUCUUUGGGUUUUAAAGCAAUCAAGUGGGAUUGAUCAGAAACAAUAGACAUAAGGCAACAGUUGCAAAUAUAAUUUAUACAGGAUACCCAACUCGAGUUGUGGUAUGUUCUCACUUAAUGUUUUACUCCCCUCUAGUGGAUUUUUAUAUAGCACAUGAUACCCUGAGUAUGGUAUAGGAUAGCAGAUUUUAGGGGAAAAAAUGGUUUUGCAGUAUGUUUAAAGCAUGUUUAUGUUUUGUAGAAUUUCUGUACAAGUCUAUAUAAUUUUGGAGAUUAAAAAAAAGGUUGACUGGGCGCGGUGGCUCACACCUGUAAUCCCAGCACUUUGGGAGGCCAAGGUGGGCAGAUCACAAGGUCAGGAGUUUGAGACCAGCCUGGCCAAUAUGGUGAAACCCCGUCUCUACUAAAAAUACAAAAAUUAGCCGGGCAUGGUGGUACGUGCCUGUAGUCCCAGCUACUGGGGAGGCUGAAGCAGGAGAAUAACUUGAACCCAGUUGGCAGAGGUUGCAGUGAGUCAAGAUUGUGCCACUGCACUCCAUCCAGCAGAGUGACAGAGCAAGAUUCCAUCUUAAAAAAAAAAAAAAAAAAAAAAAAAAAAGGUUAAAGGCCUGUUAGUUCACUUUUCCCAUUUUGCAGGUGAAGAAGCUAAGUCUCAGAAAGAUAACUCACCCAGGAUGACACAAGUAUAAACUUGAUUCCCAUGGCAGUAGAAAGCUUACAUUUACCCACUUAGAUGAUCAUCAGUGGAGGAGAGACUUAUGCCUGGAGGAACUUGGAAAUCAAAUUCCAUCUUCCACCAUUGUGGUUAGAACAUGAGACUUAUUGCUCAAAGAGGGGAGUAUAUGGCUUGGAGCUGCCAUCCAAUAUGAAGAAAGAAUCUUUCCUUUAUUGGAGAAAGAAGCCAGUGAAUAAAGAGGAGGUUGCGGGGAAAGCAAAGGCCAGAUAAAAGCGUUUAAUCCAAAUCCCUCCCUUUGAGGUGAAACCCUGGAAGGUAGUUUGAGUUAGAAGUAAUAGAAAUGUCCAGAAAUGUUGGAAGAGGGGACUUGCAGGGCACUGGAUUUGGCCUUUACUUCCUGGGCAGAAGCCUUAGAAAAGGCUUGUGUUGGGAUGCUGCUGUCCAACAUGUCACUGAGUGUAAGAUUCUGAGAGAGAGAGAGGGCACAGCAAGUCUUGCAUGCUGCUGGAGUACAAGUAAAGCAUGCAGUUUCCAGAUUCCCCUGUAGGUGCAGAGCAGCCCAGAAAACUGGUGGGCAGGACAAGGCCUUUCUGGAUGUCCAACAGCCCUGCUUUCUUCUGAUCCAUAGUCCCUCUGCUCAGAUCCUUUUCCCAGUGUGAAUUCCCUCCUUACAUCUCCCUACCCAGGGCCGGCCUGUAAUCCCAGCACUUUGGGAGGCCGAGACGGGCGGAUCACGAGGUCAGGAGAUCGAGACCAUCCUGGCUAACACAGUGAAACCCCGUCUCUACUAAAAAAUACCAAAAAAAAACUAGCCGGGCGAGGUGGCGGGCGCCUGUAGUCCCAGCUACUCGGGAGGCUGAGGCAGGAGAAUGGCGUAAACCCGGGAGGCGGAGCUUGCAGUGAGCCGAGAUCCGGCCACUGCGCUCCAGCCUGGGCGACAGAGCAAGACUCUGUCUCAAAAAAAAAAAAAAAAAAAAAA